Non-coding RNA from Monodelphis domestica (gray short-tailed opossum), 517 nucleotides. The record is from the annotation of a RefSeq genome assembly. Lineage: Eukaryota; Metazoa; Chordata; Mammalia; Didelphimorphia; Didelphidae.
AGGGGCCCAGGCUCAGGGCAGAUUUGCAUGCGGCCCCCACAGCCCUCACAGACUCCAUCCCAGGGUUUCAGGGAGAGGAUAAGAGGGAGAAGACAGAGACCAGGCCCAGCUGUGAGCUCUGAGGACCCCCUGCACCAUGGCCCGGCCUCUUGUCUGUCUCUCGCUGCUCACCUUCUGCUCAGGCUCCGUCUCCCAGGCUAUGGUGACUCAGCCUCCCUCUGCCUCUGCAGCCCUGGGGAGCUCGGCCAGACUCUCCUGCACCCUGAGCAGUGAGCUCAGUGCUAGAAAUGUUUAUUGGCACCAGCAGAGCCCAGGAAAGCCCCCUCGGUACCUCCUGUAUGUCACCAGCAGUGGAAGUACAGGCAGGGGCAACGGGAUCCCUGAGCGCUUCUCUGGCUCCGGAUCUGGGACGAACCGAUUCCUGUCCAUCAGCAACGUCGAGCCUGACGAUGAAGCCGAUUAUUUCUGCCAGUCAGAUUACUACCGUAGUAGUAGUAAUUUUGGUUAUACACAGUGA